Long non-coding RNA from Neofelis nebulosa (Clouded leopard), 777 nucleotides. RefSeq lists it as uncharacterized. The transcript has 3 exons. The record is from RefSeq and is a predicted model, not a curated record. NCBI's taxonomy places the organism in Eukaryota, Metazoa, Chordata, Mammalia, Carnivora, Felidae.
CCUAGAGGAUCCUGGCUGGGGGCUACUAGUUGCUGGCAGGAGGCCGGGAGGCGGAGAGGGCUCAGAUAAAGAUCAAGGUCAAUGAAAGCAGAAGCAACAAAUACAAGCUAGUCGGGACAGAGAGAAAAGGAGGGCAGAAAACACCCAGAGAGGAGGAGACGAGACCCCCUUCAGACCCCUCAGGCUGCGAGGAGACACGGCUCAGCCUAGAGCUCCCUCUCUGGGGGCAGAAACGUGAGGCACCCACAGGGCAGAAGAGGAGUAAGAAACUUAUUAACAAGAGCACAUUAUUCGUAGCAGUGACUGAGAACCAAAUUCCUGGCAAAGCUUGAACAACUGUGGCAAAAACCUGCCCGGAGUGCUUCCUGCCUUCUCACUGAGAUUCAGAAUAAACACUUCCUGAAGCCUUGUCGUCACCACACAAUGUGUAGGAGCUUCUAUAUACAGUGGAUUCUCAUUAGUCCCAGUAGUUAUGUUCUAUACAGUCACUGCAAACACUCACUGAGCUAGCAAAUACCGAACCAUUGUUUCACGGGGAAUUGCAGGGUUAAGUUCCUGAGAGCCCCUGCUUACAUUUUCAUCAACCCAUCAAUACACAACCUCCUUUUAUGUAUGCGUGCUUGUGUUUCCUUAAUAGAUACUGCUGAUCCAUUAACAUCAAAUUCACGGCUGAGGGGCACUAUAACUCACACCUGAACCAAACCUACCUUACACCUGUAUUUUCUCUCAAGGCACAUCACAGCACUCUUGUGCUUAGAACAGUAGACAGCACUUCAG